This is a long non-coding RNA of Myotis brandtii (Brandt's bat), 231 nucleotides long. RefSeq lists it as uncharacterized. Lineage: Eukaryota; Metazoa; Chordata; Mammalia; Chiroptera; Vespertilionidae. The transcript has 2 exons. The record is from RefSeq and is a predicted model, not a curated record.
CCCUUUAGUUCACCCCACCGCCACCAGCCGCGAGAGCCCCGAGGAUGGGAGAUCUGGGUGGAUGUCUUCAUCCUGCCCCGAUCCGCUUCGUCCAUGCGUCGGAGCAGUGCUGACCCCCGCCCCGGGGUUCCAGACUCCACUCCCGCCUUCCUCUGACUCCCCGGACCUCCCACUCCCGCCCGCCCUCGGGAUCGACUAGAUCCCUCCCUCUCCCCGAGGAUUCCGGCUGGA